GACGAACCGUGCGAACGUUAUUCGGAAUCACUGGGCUUAAAGGGCGCGUAGGCGGGCCGCCUGGUCCGGGGUGAAAUCCUCCAGCUCAACUGGAGAAGUGCCUUGGAUACCGGCGGCCUCGAGGGAGGCAGGGGCGUGCGGAGCUUCGGGUGGAGCGGUGAAAUGCGUAGAUAUCCGAAGGAACACCGGUGGCGAAAGCGGCGCGCUGGACCUCUUCUGACGCUGAGGCGCGAAAGCCAGGGGAGCAAACAGG
This 253-nucleotide ribosomal RNA is filed under the name uncultured bacterium. Its description in RNAcentral is "partial 16S ribosomal RNA". It matches the Rfam family "Bacterial small subunit ribosomal RNA", at positions 524 to 776 of the family's 1533-position model. The record is from RNAcentral.